GAUGAACGCUGGCGGCGUGCCUAAUACAUGCAAGUCGAGCGAACAGACGAGGAGCUUGCUCCUCUGACGUUAGCGGCGGACGGGUGAGUAACACGUGGAUAACCUACCUAUAAGACUGGGAUAACUUCGGGAAACCGGAGCUAAUACCGGAUAAUAUAUUGAACCGCAUGGUUCAAUAGUGAAAGACGGUUUUGCUGUCACUUAUAGAUGGAUCCGCGCCGCAUUAGCUAGUUGGUAAGGUAACGGCUUACCAAGGCAACGAUGCGUAGCCGACCUGAGAGGGUGAUCGGCCACACUGGAACUGAGACACGGUCCAGACUCCUACGGGAGGGAGCAGUAGGGAAUCGUCCGCAAUGGGCGAAAGCCUGACGGAGCAACGCCGCGUGAGUGAUGAAGGUCUUCGGAUCGUAAAACUCUGUUAUUAGGGAAGAACAAAUGUGUAAGUAACUAUGCACGUCUUGACGGUACCUAAUCAGAAAGCCACGGCUAACUACGUG
RNAcentral lists this ribosomal RNA (497 nucleotides) under uncultured bacterium. RNAcentral describes it as "partial 16S ribosomal RNA". It matches the Rfam family "Bacterial small subunit ribosomal RNA", at positions 28 to 507 of the family's 1533-position model. The record is from RNAcentral.